This 253-nucleotide ribosomal RNA is filed under the name uncultured bacterium. Its description in RNAcentral is "partial 16S ribosomal RNA". It matches the Rfam family "Bacterial small subunit ribosomal RNA", at positions 524 to 776 of the family's 1533-position model. The record is from RNAcentral.
UACGUAGGUGGCAAGCGUUAUCCGGAUUUACUGGGUUUAAAGGGUGUGUAGGCGGGCUUUUAAGUCAGUGGUGAAAUCUCCGGGCUCAACCUGGAAACUGCCAUUGAUACUAUUAGUCUUGAAUUUUGUUGAGGUAGGCGGAAUAAGUCAUGUAGCGGUGAAAUGCAUAGAUAUGACUUAGAACACCAAUUGCGAAGGCAGCUUGCUAAACAAAUAUUGACGCUGAGGCACGAAAGCGUGGGGAUCAAACAGG